This 65-nucleotide non-coding RNA is filed under the name Thraustochytrium sp. LLF1b. Lineage: Eukaryota; Bigyra; Thraustochytrida; Thraustochytriidae. The record is from RNAcentral.
GAACGACAGGGAAGAAGGGAUGUCGAUCUCGCUUCACGCUGUAAAGUGGAAAGGCAUUCCCGAUG